AUACGGAGGAUCCAAGCGUUAUCCGGAUUUAUUGGGUUUAAAGGGUGCGCAGGCGGAAGAUUAAGUCGGCGGUGAAAUUUUGCAGCUCAACUGUAAAAGUGCCAUCGAUACUGGUUUUCUUGAGUGUGGAUGAAGUAGGCGGAAUUUGUGGUGUAGCGGUGAAAUGCAUAGAUAUCACGAGGAACUCCGAUUGCGCAGGCAGCUUACUAGGCCAUAACUGACGCUCAGGCACGAAGGCGUGGGGAUCAAACAGGAUUAGAUACCCUGGUAGUCCACGCAGUAAACGAUGAUUACUCGCUGUUUGCGAUACACAGUAAGCGGCUUAGCGAAAGCAUUAAGUAUUCCACCUGGGGAGUACGUUCGCAAGAAUGAAACUUAAAGGAAUUGACGGGG
RNAcentral lists this ribosomal RNA (393 nucleotides) under uncultured bacterium. Its description in RNAcentral is "partial 16S ribosomal RNA". It matches the Rfam family "Bacterial small subunit ribosomal RNA", at positions 523 to 918 of the family's 1533-position model. The record is from RNAcentral.